Molecule: ribosomal RNA, 591 nt
Filed under: Triticum aestivum (bread wheat)
Lineage: Eukaryota; Viridiplantae; Streptophyta; Magnoliopsida; Poales; Poaceae
Description: partial small subunit ribosomal RNA
Source: RNAcentral
AUGGAAACCCUGGUUGCUGGCUAUGAGGAGGACACUAGUUCCAAGCAACUCUUGACCGAACUAUCAGUAACAGGGAGAAAUGACAAGGGCUACUCAUUGGAUAAUGGUCUGCUUCGCUACAAAGGGCGUAUUUGGGUUGGCCAAAACCCUUUGGCUCAGCAACACAUUAUGCAGUCCCUCCAUGCCACUGCACUUGGCAGCCAUUCGGGGGUGCUUGGGACAUAUCAGUGUGUCAAGAAACUCUUUGCCUGGGCCAAGAUGAAACGAGAUGUUACAGAGUUUGUGCAAGGCUGUAGCGUGUGUCAGCAGGCCAAGCCGGAACACUAUCUUCUACCUCGAGUUCUUCAACCUCAUGAGAUUCCCCCUCAUCCAUGGCACACUAUAAGCUGGGAUUUCGUGGAAGGGUUGCCUAAGUCAAACGGCUUCGAACUCAAGAAGCAAGUUCCUCCAUGGUUCUCCAUCGAGCCGGGCAUGGGCAUGGUCGAACAAAGGAGCUUGACACUACUUCAACCCGCGACGAUCUUGCAGAUGAAGCUCGUUCAGCAAUGCGGUGCGAUCAAGCCAAGGUUCAAGAUUCGCUGGAAGGAUUGA